Pantherophis guttatus is the source of this 1950-nucleotide long non-coding RNA. RefSeq lists it as uncharacterized. The record is from RefSeq and is a predicted model, not a curated record. Lineage: Eukaryota; Metazoa; Chordata; Lepidosauria; Squamata; Colubridae.
CCCUGCCGUUUGAUUGAAAAGGCAGCAUGGCGUCGGCGGCCUGUAAAAUAUUUAAAUGGCAUUUUUGGGCGAAGUUAAUUUAAACUUAAAGCGGCAUUUUCAAAUGUGAUGUACUGAAUAUGCUUCUUCGACGUGGUAAACCACUCGGUUUAAAAAAAAGGGGGAAUGUAGGCUUGCCUUGAACUGACAUGGAUUAGGAGUCUGGCGUGCCACACAACAGCUGUAUUUUCCUCAGUGGUUCUAUUGUUUUCUUAAGAAUAUUAUAUCCGGUCGAGCCAUCCAAAUUCAUGCCAAACAUUUUCCCACCGAGCGCUUCGGAAUCACCGAAGCCCAAAAGAUUUUUCAUUUUCAGCGGGAAGAGAAGAACCGUUACUGAACCGGCUUAAGAACUUGGCAGAAAGAUUCUACCAUGGCCAUUUCUACCACGGAAAUCCGCCUCAAGUCCUCCACCCCAAAGGCAGCCCAUCCAUGCCAGCUGCUUCAUCCUUCUUGGUGAGAAAAUGUUCCUUUGCCUUGGGAGAUCCAAUCUUGGAGGCCUCCAGACUGCAAUUACCGUAUCAGCUCACUAUCUCCUGCAACAGCUCAGGUCGCACGAAGGAUGCCGCCUCUCUAGUCCCGCGUGACAAACUCCCCGUAUUCGCACAUCACCCAGGAAGCGUUUUAGAAGAUGACAACGCAAGUCCGAAAGAUUUCUUCCUGGAUGGUAAGGAAGGAGAACUCCGAAGGGAAAGCAACAGAUAUACGAGCCUUCUAAAGAAGUUGAUUUAAUCAGGCUUCAGAGACGGUCGUUGAUAGAUAUAACAAAACAGAAAACCUUGGCCUUUUACGGAAUAAAAUGUCAAUACUUCACUGCCAGUGCGAAUAAAAUAUAACCCUGCGGUAUUAUCGACGUUCAAAUCUAGGAAUGUGAAACACUCUGUUAAUGAGGUCCUUAUCCUUGUUGUGUUUUUCACAUUUUUAAUAGGUUUCGUGCAAAAAGUAAGUUUUUCACGAAAAGUCAAGCACUUGUAUUUUUCGAAGUCACCAGGGAUCUAAGUUGAGGGAAGACUUAAUUUUUAUCUGGUACAAGUAGUCCUCGACUUACGGCAGUUCAUUUAGUGACCGUUCAAAGUUAUAACGGCACUGGAAAAAGUGAUUUACAACCAUUUUUCACACUUACGAUGUUGCAACGUCCCCAGGGUCCCAUGAUCAGAAUCAAGACGCUUGGCAACUGACUCAUACUUCUGACGGGGAGUGUGUGUGUCACGUGAUCUCCUUUUGCGACCUGGCGAGCAAAGUCAAUGGGAUUCACUUAACAACCAUGUUACUAACGUAGUCACUGCUGUGAUUCACUUUGCAACUGUGGCAAGAAAGAUCGUAAAAUGGGGGCAACAUUCAGUUAACGACUGUUUCGCCUAGCAACCAAAAUUUGGGACUCAGUUGUGGUCGUAAGUUGAGGACUACCUGUAAUUCUGGGAGAAUUAGCAGGGGCCAGAAGGAGAAAUUAGAAAUAGCCGAUUUUAACACGGAUUGAUAGACUGAAAAGCAAUGGAAGAUUGAUGAUACAGGCAGCGUUCACGUUGGACCAACAGUUAUGUGGUUGACUAAUGGGGUUGGACUAGAAGACCUCCAAGGUCCCCGUUGUAUUCUGAUUGGUUGAUUGCUCCAUAAUCCUAAAUUGCAAAAGAAUAUCCUUCUUUUGUGAGCUCCCUUUGAACUUGUGGGUGGGGUGCUUCAGGAUGCGGCUUUGCCCUCGCGAAGUUAGGUGUGAGAUGCUCACCAGAUUUUAAAUGAAAGGAUAAAACGCGUCUUUUUUCAUCAAAAGAGAACAUUAGGUUGAAAAAUCAACGUUUGUGCCUCCAACCUUUGUCGUAAAGGGGCGUUUUCACCACCGUCUAGCUCUUAAUAGAGACAGAAAGAUGCAGGAACAGAACUGGAGGUCAAACCAAUAAGAAGAAGGGCUCUGGAAAU